GAGCGGAUCUUCGGGAGCUUGCUCCCGAUGGUCAGCGGCGGACGGGUGAGUAACACGUGGGCAACCUGCCUGUAAGACUGGGAUAACUCCGGGAAACCGGGGCUAAUACCGGAUAAUUCAUUCCCUCACAUGAGGGAAUGCUGAAAGACGGCAUCUCCCUGUCCCUUACAAAUGGCCCCCCGCCCCAUUACCUAGUUGGGGAGGUAACGGCCCCCCAAGGCCCCAAUCCGUACCCAACCUGAAAGGGGGAUCGGCCACCCGGGAACGGAAACCCGGCCCAAACCCCAACGGAAGGCACCAUUAGGGAAUCUCCCCCAAGGGACAAAAGUCUGACGAACCACCCCCCCGGGACCAAAAAAGGCCUUCGGGCCGAAAAGCUCUUUUGUCAGGAAAAAACAAUUACCGAAUUACCUGCCGGUCCCUUGACGGUACCUGACCAGAAAGCCACGGCUAACUACGUGCCAGCAGCCGCGGUAAUACGUAGGUGGCAAGCGUUGUCCGGAAUUAUUGGGCGUAAAGCGCGCGCAGGCGGUCCUUUAAGUCUGAUGUGAAAGCCCACGGCUCAACCGUGGAGGGUCAUUGGAAACUGGGGGACUUGAGUGCAGAAGAGGAGAGCGGAAUUCCACGUGUAGCGGUGAAAUGCGUAGAGAUGUGGAGGAACACCAGUGGCGAAGGCGGCUCUCUGGUCUGUAACUGACGCUGAGGCGCGAAAGCGUGGGGAGCGAACAGGAUUAGAUACCCUGGUAGUCCACGCCGUAAACGAUGAGUGCUAAGUGUUAGAGGGUUUCCGCCCUUUAGUGCUGCAGCAAACGCAUUAAGCACUCCGCCUGGGGAGUACGGCCGCAAGGCUGAAACUCAAAGGAAUUGACGGGGGCCCGCACAAGCGGUGGAGCAUGUGGUUUAAUUCGAAGCAACGCGAAGAACCUUACCAGGUCUUGACAUCCUCUGCCACUCCUGGAGACAGGACGUUCCCCUUCGGGGGACAGAGUGACAGGUGGUGCAUGGUUGUCGUCAGCUCGUGUCGUGAGAUGUUGGGUUAAGUCCCGCAACGAGCGCAACCCUUGUUCUUAGUUGCCAGCAUUCAGUUGGGCACUCUAAGGAGACUGCCGGUGACAAACCGGAGGAAGGUGGGGAUGACGUCAAAUCAUCAUGCCCCUUAUGACCUGGGCUACACACGUGCUACAAUGGAUAGAACAAAGGGCAGCGAAGCCGCGAGGUGAAGCCAAUCCCAUAAAUCUAUUCUCAGUUCGGAUUGCAGGCUGCAACUCGCCUGCAUGAAGCCGGAAUCGCUAGUAAUCGCGGAUCAGCAUGCCGCGGUGAAUACGUUCCCGGGCCUUGUACACACCGCCCGUCACACCACGAGAGUUUGUAACACCCGAAGUCGGUGGGGUAACCUUU
This 1398-nucleotide ribosomal RNA is filed under the name Mesobacillus campisalis. RNAcentral's name for it is "bacterial SSU rRNA". It matches the Rfam family "Bacterial small subunit ribosomal RNA". The record is from RNAcentral. Lineage: Bacteria; Bacillati; Bacillota; Bacilli; Caryophanales; Bacillaceae.